Molecule: long non-coding RNA, 685 nt
Filed under: Salmo salar (Atlantic salmon)
Lineage: Eukaryota; Metazoa; Chordata; Actinopteri; Salmoniformes; Salmonidae
Description: lncRNA (ENSSSAG00000098735.1)
Source: RNAcentral
GUUGUAUUCAGCAUUUCACUGUAAGGUCUACUACACCUGUUGUAUUCAGCAUUUCACUGUGAGGUCUACUACACCUGUUGUAUUCAGCAUUUCACUGUGAGGUCUACUACACCUGUUGUAUUCAGCAUUUCACUGUGAGGUCUACUACACCUGUUGUAUAGAGCAUUUCACUGUAAGGUCUACUACACCUGUUGUAUUCAGCAUUUCACUGUGAGGUCUACUACACCUGUUGUAUUCAGCAUUUCACUGUGAGGUCUACUACACCUGUUGUAUUCAGCAUUUCACUGUGAGGUCUACUACACCUGUUGUAUUCAGCAUUUCACUGUGAGGUCUACUACACCUGUUGUAUUCUGCAUUUCACUGUGAGGUCUACUACACCUGUUGUAUUCUGCAUUUCACUGUGAGGUCUACUACACCUGUUGUAUUCAGCAUUUCACUGUAAGGUCUACUACACCUGUUGUAUUCAGCAUUUCACUGUGAGGUCUACUACACCUGUUGUAUUCAGCAUUUCACUGUGAGGUCUACUACACCUGUUGUAUUCAGCAUUUCACUGUGAGGUCUACUACACCUGUUGUAUUCAGCAUUUCACUGUGAGGUCUACUACACCUGUUGUAUUCAGCAUUUCACUGUGAGGUCUACUACACCUGUUGUAUUCAGCAUUUCACUGUAAGGUCUACUACACCUG